UGGGGAAUAUUGGACAAUGGGGGCAACCCUGAUCCAGCCAUGCCGCGUGAGUGAUGAAGGCCUUCGGGUCGUAAAGCUCUGUGGGGAGCCACGAAACCCCGCCGGCGAAUAACCGGCGGGCUGACGGUAGCUCCUUAGCAAGCACCGGCUAACUCCGUGCCAGCAGCCGCGGUAAUACGGAGGGUGCAAACGUUGCUCGGAAUCAUUGGGCGUAAAGCGCACGUAGGCGGUCCUGUAAGUCGGGUGUGAAAUCCCUCGGCUUAACCAAGGAAGUGCAUUCGAAACUACAGGACUUGAGUACUGGAGAGGGUCGCGGAAUUCUCGGUGUAGAGGUGAAAUUCGUAGAUAUCGGGAGGAACACCAGUGGCGAAGGCGGCGACCUGGGCAGAUACUGACGCUGAGGUGCGAAAGCGUGGGGAGCAAACAG
Molecule: ribosomal RNA, 427 nt
Filed under: uncultured bacterium
Lineage: Bacteria
Description: bacterial SSU rRNA
Rfam family: Bacterial small subunit ribosomal RNA
Source: RNAcentral